GCCCCCGUAGCCCAAUGGUAGGGCGUCAGACUUCUAUCUAUGUCCAGGAAGCUCCGGGAGAGUUUAUCUGAAGGUUGCGGGUUCGAGCCCCGCCGGGGGUG
Molecule: non-coding RNA, 101 nt
Organism: Blastomyces dermatitidis ER-3
Lineage: Eukaryota; Fungi; Ascomycota; Eurotiomycetes; Onygenales; Ajellomycetaceae
Source: Rfam